RNAcentral lists this ribosomal RNA (248 nucleotides) under uncultured bacterium. Its description in RNAcentral is "partial 16S ribosomal RNA". It matches the Rfam family "Bacterial small subunit ribosomal RNA", at positions 109 to 354 of the family's 1533-position model. The record is from RNAcentral.
AGUAACGACGUGAGGAACCUGCCUUCCAGAGGGGGACGAACAGUUGGAAACGACUGCUAAUACCGCAUGAUGUGUUUCGUAUGGCAUCAUCGAGACACCAAAGAUUUAUCGCUGGAAGAUGGCCUCGCGUCUGAUUAGCUAGUAGGCGGGGUAACAGCCCACCAAGGCGACGAUCAGUAGCCGGCCUGAGAGGGUGAACGGCCACAUUGGGACUGAGACACGGCCCAAACUCCUACGGGAGGCAGCAG